RNAcentral lists this ribosomal RNA (253 nucleotides) under uncultured bacterium. RNAcentral describes it as "partial 16S ribosomal RNA". It matches the Rfam family "Bacterial small subunit ribosomal RNA", at positions 524 to 776 of the family's 1533-position model. The record is from RNAcentral.
UACGAAGGGUGCAAGCGUUACUCGGAAUUACUGGGCGUAAAGCGUGCGUAGGUGGUUUGUUAAGUCUGUUGUGAAAGCCCCGGGCUCAACCUGGGAAUGGCAAUGGAUACUGCCGGGCUAGAGGACGGUAGAGGCGAGUGGAAUUCCCGGUGUAGCGGUGAAAUGCGCAGAUAUCGGGAGGAACACCAGUAGCGAAGGCAGCUCGCUGGGACGGUACUGACGCUAAGGCGCGAAAGCGUGGGGAGCGAACAGG